RNAcentral lists this transfer RNA (76 nucleotides) under Bacillota bacterium. Its description in RNAcentral is "tRNA-Ala". It matches the Rfam family "tRNA". Rfam says of the family: Transfer RNA (tRNA) molecules are approximately 80 nucleotides in length. Their secondary structure includes four short double-helical elements and three loops (D, anti-codon, and T loops). The record is from RNAcentral. Lineage: Bacteria; Bacillati; Bacillota.
GGGGCAUUAGCUCAGCUGGGAGAUCGCUUGACUGGCAGUCAAGAGGUCAGCGGUUCGAUCCCGCUAUGCUCCACCA